ACAAAGCAUGCCAAACAUUCCCUUCCUCGGUACGUCCUGUUCGCCGAGGGAGGAAAGCGGCGAGUCCACAUCACCGACGACCUCGACGACGUCGUAGACGAUGAAGAGGACGACACUUGGAAAGAAUGGGGCAAGAAAUCCUCACAAACCUUCGAUCCGCCGCCGAACGACUUGUCGAAGAUGGAGUUAUCGGAGAUCCAGGCCGAGAUGAUGAAGCGGCAUUCCGGGCCGGUUUUCGGGUUCAUCAAGCUCUGACUCGGCGUCAAACGGACUCGGGAUAUGGUGGCUGAGAUUGCUACGAAAUGGAGUAAAGUUCUGAGAACUGGAUCUAUUGGGGUACGGUUCAUGGGUGUUGAUAUGAGCACGAUCAUGGUCACCAUGGAAAGAGGCCAAGACAUGGCAGAGUUGAAGGAGUUCGUGUUGAACCAACCAGAGGCCUACGAGAUAAAGAUUGGAGAUCAAGUUUUUCGAAGACCUGGAGAUCCUCCUUUAGACCAAGUCGUUGAGAAGCUCCAGAAUGAGAGAACGAGAAUCGAGAAUGACGGUUCAACAGAGAGCAAUAGGCAAGUGAAAGAGGAACUGUAUUUUUGUGUUACCACAUUUUAUGAAAUGCAAUGGAAUGGCCCCUUAUGUAACUCAUAGCAAAUGCAUACAUUUUUGUGUAACUUGGGGUACAAGAUUAGUGUUUAUGAAUUAGGUUGCUGAUUUCGGAACUGGCUAAACGAACUAAGAGAGCUGUUCAUGACAUGAGUAGGUAGGUCAUAUACAUACCAUUUUCUAUCUGGGAGAGGAUCCUCUCCUGAGCAAAGUUUUCACCUGAGCUUCCUGACCUUUUAAUCAGAUGAAGACACGUGUUAUUGUUUAAUCCAAAGGUCUACAAUUACUC
Molecule: RNA transcript, 886 nt
Organism: Rosa chinensis
Lineage: Eukaryota; Viridiplantae; Streptophyta; Magnoliopsida; Rosales; Rosaceae
Exons: 3
Source: RefSeq, a predicted model, not a curated record